This is a long non-coding RNA of Bos taurus (domestic cattle), 507 nucleotides long. NCBI's taxonomy places the organism in Eukaryota, Metazoa, Chordata, Mammalia, Artiodactyla, Bovidae. The record is from Ensembl.
GAAAUAUAGCGACUGUGGCUUCCCAGGUGGCGCUAGUGGUAAAGAACGCGCCUGCUAAUGCAGGAGAUAAAAGAGAGAAGAACUUCAGCUUUGGUCUCCUGUGGUCACUCCUGCAUCCCCAGGGCCAGGAAACAAGCCUGAUACACAGCAGUGCCUUCUAUUGCCCAAGGCUAUCUGGAAAUCUGAGGACAAGAGAGCUGAGUGAUGCAAGCCCAGAUCAACCUCCAAGGGCACAGAGGAGGACAGAGAAGACUGGAAACUGAUCUAGGGUUAUAGUGUCCAAUACAACCACCACUAGGCUCAUGCUUAUUUGAGUCCGAAUUGACAUGUACUAUAAAUGUAAACAUACUUUAAAAAUACUUCCUGGAUUUCAAAACCUUGGUAUUCAAAAAGAAGGUGAAGAUCUUAUUAGUUUUUAUACUGAUUACAUGUUGAAGUGAUGAUGUUUUUAUGUAUUGGGUUAAAUCAACUAUAUUAUUACAAUAAAAUUCAUCUGUUUCUUUAUAC